AAGCACGGACCAAGGAGUCCAACAUGUGCGCGAGUCUAAGGGUGAACUAAACCCGGAGGCGAAAUGAAAGUGAGCUCCUUUUUGGGGCAGGCCGAUCCCUAGUGGUGACCUGACUAUUCCUUUGCAUUGGUGAGAGAAUGUCCUAUUGUAUUUGGGAUAGUAUUUGGUUGCUGCAGCCCUCCUCUUUUAGGGGAGGGAAUUGUGGGCGCAGGCCGAGGACUUGCCAUUAUGCGGCGCGGGCAACGGGUUGUCUUUAGGGGCUUCCUUAUCCCGAUGUCCGUUGGCAAGUACCUGAGAGCGCAGCCGUUGGGACCCGAAAGAUGGUGAACUAUGCCUGGCGAGGACGAAGCCAGAGGAAACUCUGGUGGAGGUCCGAAGCAGUUCUGACGUGCAAAUCGAUUGUCAGAGCUGGGUAUAGGGGCGAAAGACUAAUCNAACCAUCUAGUACUGGGNUUCCUUCCAAA
RNAcentral lists this ribosomal RNA (464 nucleotides) under Macrobrachium aff. yui MB-2009. RNAcentral's name for it is "eukaryotic LSU rRNA". It matches the Rfam family "Eukaryotic large subunit ribosomal RNA", at positions 657 to 965 of the family's 3401-position model. The record is from RNAcentral. Lineage: Eukaryota; Metazoa; Arthropoda; Malacostraca; Decapoda; Palaemonidae.